RNAcentral lists this ribosomal RNA (397 nucleotides) under uncultured bacterium. RNAcentral's name for it is "partial 16S ribosomal RNA". It matches the Rfam family "Bacterial small subunit ribosomal RNA", at positions 523 to 918 of the family's 1533-position model. The record is from RNAcentral.
AUACGUAGGUGACAAGCGUUAUCCGGAUUUACUGGGCGUAAAGGGCGUGUAGGCGGUCUUGCAAGUCAGAAGUGAAAUUCCUGAGCUCAACUCGGGCGCUGCUUCUGAAACUGCAGGACUUGAGUGUCGGAGAGGUAGAUGGAAUUCCUUGUGUAGCGGUGAAAUGAGUAGAUAUAAGGAAGAAAACCAGUGGCGACGGCGAUCUUCUGGACGAUAACUGACGCUGAGGCGCGAAAGCGUGGGGAGCAAACAGGAUUAGAUGCCCUGGUAGUCCACGCCGUAAACGAUGAAUACUAGGUGUAGGGGGUAUCGACUCCCUCUGUGCCGCAGUUAACACAAUAAGUAUUCCGCCUGGGGAGUACGGCCGCAAGGUUGAAACUCAAAUGAAUUGACGGGG